This 492-nucleotide ribosomal RNA is filed under the name uncultured Actinomycetes bacterium. RNAcentral describes it as "bacterial SSU rRNA". It matches the Rfam family "Bacterial small subunit ribosomal RNA", at positions 355 to 857 of the family's 1533-position model. Lineage: Bacteria; Bacillati; Actinomycetota; Actinomycetes. The record is from RNAcentral.
UAGGGAAUCUUGCGCAAUGGGCGAAAGCCUGACGCAGCGACGCCGCGUGCGGGACGAAGGCCCUCGGGUUGUAAACCGCUUUCAGCAGGGACGAAGCGAAAGUGACGGUACCUGCAGAAGAAGGUCCGGCCAACUACGUGCCAGCAGCCGCGGUAAUACGUAGGGACCGAGCGUUGUCCGGAUUCAUUGGGCGUAAAGAGCUCGUAGGCGGCCACUCAAGUCGAAUGUGAAACCUCGAGGCUCAACCUCGAGCCUGCAUUCGAUACUGGGCGGCUAGAGUCUGGUAGGGGGAUCUGGAAUUCCUGGUGUAGCGGUGGAAUGCGCAGAUAUCAGGAGGAACACCGGUGGCGAAGGCGGGAUCCUGGGCCAGUACUGACGCUGAGGAGCGAAAGCGUGGGGAGCAAACAGGAUUAGAUACCCUGGUAGUCCACGCCGUAAACGAUGGGCGCUAGGUGUGGGAGGUCAUCGACUCCUUCCGUGCCGCAGCUAACG